Molecule: long non-coding RNA, 1148 nt
Organism: Cornus florida
Lineage: Eukaryota; Viridiplantae; Streptophyta; Magnoliopsida; Cornales; Cornaceae
Exons: 2
Source: RefSeq, a predicted model, not a curated record
CUCACUAUAUAAGUGAAUGAAAGCCUGGAGUUCAUCAUUUAGUUUUGCAGACAUAGGAGAGGGUUAAAGAUCGUUUCCGUUAUAGUUAUCUCCAAAUUGAGUUUCUGUAUCUGUGUGGAGAGAGAUGCAAGUCUUUAUUAGAGAAAUUAUUAGGUAGUUCCGGGACCAACUCAUCAGCUCAUCUAUGGGUCCCUGACGUCGUCAACGCCAUUAGCGUUUCGCGAAUCAUCUUCAACAACAAGUACUGUUUCGCUCGCGUCUUCGCAUGUGAAGGCGAAGGCCGGAUGUUAGGUUGUUGGCAGCUGUAGUGAAUUUCCCAAAUUGAUCCGUUUUCGUCACCGGCAGUGAAUGUGGAGACGAUUUUUACUUGGCAAUGAGCUGUAAAUUUGCUUAGAUGGCUAGGAUUGCCCGAAAAAUAGAUGAGGUGGUGGUCCUGGAACUACCUAAUAAUUUCUCCAUUAAGAUGUGCUGUUGAAAGACUUGGAUUUCUUUCUCCCUCUUUGAAUCCUCAAAAUGGGCCUCCCUAGAUAUUUUACCCGUUGAAUAAAUAUAGUCCACACAAAAGGAUAAUUGAUGACAUAAACAUUUCAUGUGAUCAUUAUUUUUUUAAUAGAAAAUAAAGCAGAUUGGAUAAUUUGCAAGUCUUUACAAAAAUAUAUGAUGUUAUGUAUGGCACUAUCGAAUUGGCAUAUUGGAUUUGUGAUUAGAAAAAAAUUAGUACAUAUUUUGAAUUAAAUUUCUUUCGAUUUCGGAUAUAAGGCACCAAUUCGAUACUUCCGGACAUAAUAUAGAGUUAUUUGCUUAAAUAAUACAGGAGGUUAUUUGAAGUCACAGCCCAAGGGAAGAUGUUGAGUUUUGUUAUGCCUCUUACUUUUUACGGUUUUAAUUUGUAAAUCCAAUGAUGCCUCUGCCUCUUGUAGGUAUAAGAAGAGAUAGCAGAUAUAUACAAGAAAAUAUUUUGUAGACUGCGUAUUAGUGUUAAUGAAAAUGCUAUCAUGGGUGACAAAAAACAAAAAACAAAAAACAAAAAAUAAAAAAUAAAAAUGCUAUCAUGGGCUAGAGGAAAUGUAAACAAAAUUUGUCAUUAUCUAUGCAAAAAUGCAUGCCCUAACUCCUUUUUGUUUUUUUAGAUUCUUGAAUUUUAACCG